RNAcentral lists this transfer RNA (93 nucleotides) under Gammaproteobacteria bacterium. RNAcentral's name for it is "tRNA-Ser". It matches the Rfam family "tRNA". Rfam says of the family: Transfer RNA (tRNA) molecules are approximately 80 nucleotides in length. RNAcentral also lists the same sequence under 1 other name. Lineage: Bacteria; Pseudomonadati; Pseudomonadota; Gammaproteobacteria. The record is from RNAcentral.
GGAGAGGUACCGAAGCGGUUAUAACGGCACCGACUCGAAAUCGGUUGGUCCUUUUAACAGGGCACGCGGGUUCGAAUCCCGCCCUCUCCGCCA